RNAcentral lists this microRNA precursor (58 nucleotides) under Pteropus alecto (black flying fox). Its description in RNAcentral is "microRNA pal-mir-10006 precursor (pal-mir-10006-1)". The record is from miRBase by way of RNAcentral. Lineage: Eukaryota; Metazoa; Chordata; Mammalia; Chiroptera; Pteropodidae.
ACUGAUGUGAUUGUAUAGGGCUCACAUCUCACUGAGCCCUAUACAAUCACAUCAGUUA